CCUACGGGAGGCAGCAGUGAGGAAUAUUGGUCAAUGGACGAGAGUCUGAACCAGCCAAGUAGCGUGAAGGAUGACUGCCCUAUGGGUUGUAAACUUCUUUUAUAAAGGAAUAAAACGAGGCACGUGUGCCUUUUUGCAUGUACUUUAUGAAUAAGGAUCGGCUAACUCCGUGCCAGCAGCCGCGGUAAUACGGAGGAUCCGAGCGUUAUCCGGAUUUAUUGGGUUUAAAGGGAGCGUAGAUGGGUUGUUAAGUCAGUUGUGAAAGUUUGCGGCUCAAACGUAAAAUUGCAAUUGAUACUGGCAGUCUUGAGUACAGUUGAGGUAGGCGGAAUUCGUGGUGUAGCGGUGAAAUGCUUAGAUAGCACGAAGAACCCCGAUUGCGAAGGCAGCUUACCAAACUGUGACUGACAUUGAUGCUCGAAAGUGUGGGUAUCAAACAGGAUUAGAUACCCCAGUAGUC
This 460-nucleotide ribosomal RNA is filed under the name uncultured bacterium. RNAcentral's name for it is "partial 16S ribosomal RNA". It matches the Rfam family "Bacterial small subunit ribosomal RNA", at positions 338 to 795 of the family's 1533-position model. The record is from RNAcentral.